This is a long non-coding RNA of Mytilus californianus (California mussel), 2004 nucleotides long. RefSeq lists it as uncharacterized. Lineage: Eukaryota; Metazoa; Mollusca; Bivalvia; Mytilida; Mytilidae. The transcript is spliced from 3 exons. The record is from RefSeq and is a predicted model, not a curated record.
UUUUAGUAUAAGUUUAAACUCCUAGAAGUUCGGGGCAUAAAAAUGUUGAAUAUAUGUCGCACAGCCCUAUGUUUUGACCUUUGAACAAAAUAAUAGUGCAUAUCAACUUUUCGUUCUAGGGUAAAAGUAUCGACAACCUGAAGAACCAUAAGUGUUCAUAAAUGGAUAUCAUAACAUGUUUAUUUCAAUGUUCAAAGAUCUUAAUGCAAUGUUAAAUUGAUACCCUUCAAAAAUAAGUUUACUGAAAGGAUCAAUAAGUUUAGAUGGAUUGUUUAUGAAUUUUCGAGCUCUAUUAACCGUAUCACCGUACAUAUCAGGAUAAGAUAUCCCGUGGAUAAUAUGUUUUUUUACAGGUACAACCAAACUUCCAAACCAAAUCUUUGUAACUAUGAAAAAAAAAAAAAGUAUUAAUUUGUGGUAACAACUAUUUGUAUUGUCUGUUUUUUCCUGUUUUUGCUCAUGGUGAUGGCUGUAUUACGACUUAUGAACUUUUAUCAACCUCUUGGUAUCUUCUUAUCUUAAUUGAUUUAUUUAUUCUUUAUUCCAUUUUAAUAAACACAUUUAAAAUUGUUGUGUAUUUAUGUGAAGUCGGAGGUCAACUAAAACAGCCAUAAAACAUCAUAGGAUAAUUAUAUGUAAUUUUCUGUCCGGAUCAACCAAUUAUCACUAGAUUAUUCAGAGUGAGAUCAAAAGUUCAUUAACUGCAAGUUUCAAAAUUGUCUUCUUCAAGCAAAAAAAAAAAGAAUAGACCAAAUCUUAAAAGAUGGAACAUUCAGUUUUCGGAUGCAGUGGUCGGAUCAGGUUAAUUGUGAUGAUGUUGAUAUGUAUUAUAAAUCUUUAAAUUUAAUUUUCAAAAGUUAUUGUGUACACGGUAUUACAAUUUUUAAAAAGACCUAAAUUAAUAAAAUUGUAACUUAAGUUUCUUAAAAAUUAAGAGAAGAGUUAGGGACAUAUAGCACUAAAGGGAGCCAAGACUUGGUAAGUCAUCAGAAUGUUUAAUAGCAGGACGAUAUUGAACCGUCUAACCAAAUUUAAAGCUGCAAAAUUUCGAAGCAGACGACCUCUUUAGUUUUUAAUAUUGACUAGUUUUUGUGUAACACAUUGGCUCAGUUUAGAAUUGUCAGUUGUCUUUCUUGAUCAUUAUAUGAUAGAAAAUUAUAUAACAAACAUACCUCUUUAACCCUUAUUGGUACCCCUCUAAAAAGAUUAAUAUAACAUAGGUUUUUAAUGAAAACUGCCUACUCCCGGAAACGACCUUUUGCUAAAAACAUAACUAUGCAUUUCAGAAUGACAGCAUGUCACAUGAAGAUUACGCCAAGAACUGGAUAAUAGUUUCGCUUUCCCAAGGCAUAAUGACACUUUAAUAGCGUUUUAAUGUUUUUGAAACAGAUGGGAUGUUUUUUUUACAAAUGUUAAAACUAUAUGAACGAUUAUCAUUUAUUAUAAAAUUAAGAAAAAUAGUUUAAAUAAGUAUCAUCAAAAUACCAAUCAUUUGAAAAAUAAUUUUCCCUGCGCACAGAUAUACUUCUAGUUCAAUAAUGAAAUAUAACAUCAUUUUCUUUGUGUUUGUGAUUGUUUCAAUUAGAGAAUGCCAUUCUUGGUGCAGAGGGAACCAAGUUUCAGAAAAUUCCUUUGGAUGUUACUAUGAAGGUAACUUCAUACGAAAAGGAGAGACCAUUAGUUUUUUUCCGCAGUGCGUAUGGUGCAGAUGUUCUAAAACAACGCUUGAAUGCUGUUCAAUAGGCAUUGAAAUAACAAGCGUGGGGCCGGAAUGUAAAAUUGUUCAGGAUGGUUGUACCCAACGAGCAGUUUUAAAGUCGGAUAGCAAUAAAGAAUGCUCUUCGGUUAUGGGAGCAAUUGGCAAGUAAAGCAGUUGGACCCUGAUUCGUUAUUGGUGGAAGCAUUGUGGUAUUUUGGGAUUAAAGCCAUGUACCAGACCGUAUGACACUUUUAACAUUAUAAAUAUAUAUAAAAAUAUAUAUUAAAGAAGAUAUUGUAUAGUUU